Molecule: ribosomal RNA, 407 nt
Filed under: uncultured bacterium
Lineage: Bacteria
Description: partial 16S ribosomal RNA
Rfam family: Bacterial small subunit ribosomal RNA
Source: RNAcentral
GACGAACGCUGGCGGCGUGCCUAAUAAAUGCAAGUAGAACGCAGUUGCGAACGGGUGAGUAACGCGUAGGUAACUGCCUCAUAGCGGGGGAUAACUAUUGGAAACGAUAGCUAAUACCGCAUACUGUGAGAUGGACCUGCGUUGUAUUAGGUAGUUGGGGGGGGAAAAGCGCACCAAGGCGACGAUACAUAGCCGACCUGAGAGGGGGCUAGGCCACACUGGGGCUGAGACACGGCCCAGAGCCCUACUGGAGGCAGAAGUAGGGAGUCUUCGGCAAUGGGCGGAAGUCUGACCGCGCGACGCCGCGUGAGUGUGGAAGUUUUUCGGAUCUUAAAGCUCUGUUGUGACAGAAGCGGUAACUAGCAAGAAAGGGACGGCUAACUACGGGGCAGGAGGCGCGGUAAUAC